This 503-nucleotide ribosomal RNA is filed under the name uncultured bacterium. RNAcentral describes it as "bacterial SSU rRNA". It matches the Rfam family "Bacterial small subunit ribosomal RNA", at positions 30 to 520 of the family's 1533-position model. The record is from RNAcentral.
AUUGAACGCUGGCGGCAGGCCUAACACAUGCAAGUCGAGCGGCAGCGGAAAGUAGCUUGCUACUUUGCCGGCGAGCGGCGGACGGGUGAGUAAUGUCUGGGAAACUGCCUGAUGGAGGGGGAUAACUACUGGAAACGGUAGCUAAUACCGCAUGACCUCGAAAGAGCAAAGUAGGGGAUCUUCGGACCUCACGCCAUCGGAUGUGCCCAGAUGGGAUUAGCUAGUAGGUGAGGUAAUGGCUCACCUAGGCGACGAUCCCUAGCUGGUCUGAGAGGAUGACCAGCCACACUGGAACUGAGACACGGUCCAGACUCCUACGGGAGGCAGCAGUGGGGAAUAUUGCACAAUGGGCGCAAGCCUGAUGCAGCCAUGCCGCGUGUGUGAAGAAGGCCUUAGGGUUGUAAAGCACUUUCAGCCAGGAGGAAGGCAUCACACUUAAUACGUGUGGUGAUUGACGUUACUCGCAGAAGAAGCACCGGCUAACUCCGUGCCAGCCGCCGCCG